This 253-nucleotide ribosomal RNA is filed under the name uncultured bacterium. RNAcentral describes it as "partial 16S ribosomal RNA". It matches the Rfam family "Bacterial small subunit ribosomal RNA", at positions 524 to 776 of the family's 1533-position model. The record is from RNAcentral.
UACGUAGGGUGCGAGCGUUGUCCGGAAUUACUGGGCGUAAAGAGCUUGUAGGCGGUUUGUCGCGUCUGCCGUGAAAGCCCAGGGCUUAACCCUGGGUCUGCGGUGGGUACGGGCAGACUAGAGUGUGGUAGGGGAGACUGGAAUUCCUGGUGUAGCGGUGAAAUGCGCAGAUAUCAGGAGGAACACCGGUGGCGAAGGCGGGUCUCUGGGCAACAACUGACGCUGAGGAGCGAAAGCGUGGGGAGCGAACAGG